CUACGCAGCUUUAUCCCUGCGUGCAGAUCUACGUAGUUACCACGUCUUGGAGGAGCACAUCGGCAACCCAUCGCCACGUUGCUUGCCAUGCUACCUAAACAAGCUCCUGAUUGGUGGAUCAGAGGUGGUAAUAAACUGGAAUGGAGGCCCUUGGAUGCCGCGACAUUCCGAUCAGACACUUCAUCAUCCGAGAGAAAGAGAACUGAGCUUCUUGCUCGAAUUGAG
This 225-nucleotide unclassified non-coding RNA is filed under the name Hevea brasiliensis (rubber tree). Lineage: Eukaryota; Viridiplantae; Streptophyta; Magnoliopsida; Malpighiales; Euphorbiaceae. The record is from RNAcentral.